RNAcentral lists this ribosomal RNA (322 nucleotides) under Vibrio parahaemolyticus. Its description in RNAcentral is "bacterial SSU rRNA". It matches the Rfam family "Bacterial small subunit ribosomal RNA", at positions 395 to 709 of the family's 1533-position model. The record is from RNAcentral. Lineage: Bacteria; Pseudomonadati; Pseudomonadota; Gammaproteobacteria; Vibrionales; Vibrionaceae.
UGCCGCGUGUGUGAAGAAGGCCUUCGGGUUGUAAAGCACUUUCAGUCGUGAGGAAGGUAGUGUAGUUAAUAGCUGCAUUAUUUGACGUUAGCGACAGAAGAAGCACCGGCUAACUCCGUGCCAGCAGCCGCGGUAAUACGGAGGGUGCGAGCGUUAAUCGGAAUUACUGGGCGUAAAGCGCAUGCAGGUGGUUUGUUAAGUCAGAUGUGAAAGCCCGGGGCUCAACCUCGGAAUUGCAUUUGAAACUGGCAGACUAGAGUACUGUAGAGGGGGGUAGAAUUUCAGGUGUAGCGGUGAAAUGCGUAGAGAUCUGAAGGAAUAC